CAGCCGCCGCGGGAAUACGUAGGUGGCAAGCGUUGUCCGGAAUUAUUGGGCGUAAAGGGCUCGCAGGCGGCUUCUUAAGUCUGAUGUGAAAGCCCCCGGCUCAACCGGGGAGGGUCAUUGGAGACUGGGAAACUUGAGUGCAGAAGAGGAGAGUGGAAUUCCACGUGUAGCGGUGAAAUGCGUAGAGAUGUGGAGGAACACCAGUGGCGAAGGCGACUCUCUGGUCUGUAACUGACGCUGAGGAGCGAAAGCGUGGGGAGCAAACAGGAUUAGAUACCCGCGUAGUCCCUGUCUCUUAUAC
This 301-nucleotide ribosomal RNA is filed under the name uncultured bacterium. RNAcentral's name for it is "partial 16S ribosomal RNA". It matches the Rfam family "Bacterial small subunit ribosomal RNA", at positions 509 to 807 of the family's 1533-position model. The record is from RNAcentral.